Molecule: ribosomal RNA, 403 nt
Filed under: uncultured bacterium
Lineage: Bacteria
Description: partial 16S ribosomal RNA
Rfam family: Bacterial small subunit ribosomal RNA
Source: RNAcentral
GACGAACGCUGGCGGCGUGCCUAACACAUGCAAGUCGAACGAGUGGCGAACGGGUGAGUAAUGUAUGGGGACUGCCCGAUAGCGGGGGAUAACUACUGGAAACGGUAGCUAAAACCGCAUACUAUCGGAUAACCCAUAUGGGAUUAGCUAGUUGGUGAGGUAAUGGCGAACCAAGGCGACGAACCCUAGCUGGUCUGAGAGGAUGAUCAGCCACACUGGAACUGAGACACGGCCCAGACUCCUACGGAGGCAGCAGUGGGGAAUAUUGCACAAUGGGCGCAAGCCUGAUGCAGCCAUGCCGCGUGUAUGAAGAAGGCCCUAGGGUUGUAAAGGACUUUCAGUCGGGAGGCGUUACCGACAGAAGAAGCACCGGAUAACUCCGUGCCAGCAGCCGCGGUAAUAC